UGGGGAAUCUUGCACAAUGGGGGCAACCCUGAUGCAGCGACGCCGCGUGAGCGAUGAAGCCCUUCGGGGUGUAAAGCUCUUUCGGCAGGGACGAUAAUGACGGUACCUGCAGAAGCAGCUGCGGCUAACUACGUGCCAGCAGCCGCGGUAAUACGUAGGCAGCGAGCGUUGUUCGGAGUUACUGGGCGUAAAGGGUGCGUAGGCGGCCGAUUAAGUUUGUCGUGAAAUCUCCCGGCUUAACUGGGAGGGUGCGGCGAGUACUGACCGGCUAGAGUGUGGGAGAGGAGAGUGGAAUUCCUGGUGUAGCGGUGAAAUGCGUAGAUAUCAGGAGGAACACCGGCGGUGUAGACGGCUCUCUAGACCAUAACUGACGCUGAGGCACGAAAGCGUGGGUAGCAAACAGG
Molecule: ribosomal RNA, 404 nt
Filed under: uncultured bacterium
Lineage: Bacteria
Description: bacterial SSU rRNA
Rfam family: Bacterial small subunit ribosomal RNA
Source: RNAcentral